AUUGAACGCUGGCGGCAGGCCUAACACAUGCAAGUCGAACGGUAACAGGAAACAGCUUGCUGUUUCGCUGACGAGUGGCGGACGGGUGAGUAAUGUCUGGGAAACUGCCUGAUGGAGGGGGAUAACUACUGGAAACGGUAGCUAAUACCGCAUAACGUCGCAAGACCAAAGAGGGGGACCUUCGGGCCUCUUGCCAUCGGAUGUGCCCAGAUGGAAUUAGCUAGUAGGUGGGGUAACGGCUCACCUAGGCGACGAUCCCUAGCUGGUCUGAGAGGAUGACCAGCCACACUGGAACUGAGACACGGUCCAGACUCCUACGGGAGGCAGCAGUGGGGAAUAUUGCACAAUGGGCGCAAGCCUGAUGCAGCCGUGCCGCGUGUAUGAAGAAGGCCUUCGGGUUGUAAAGUACUUUCAGCGGGGAGGAAGGGAGUAAAGUUAAUACCUUUGCUCAUUGACGUUACCCGCAGAAGAAGCACCGGCUAACUCCGUGCCAGCCGCCGCCGUAA
Molecule: ribosomal RNA, 506 nt
Filed under: uncultured bacterium
Lineage: Bacteria
Description: partial 16S ribosomal RNA
Rfam family: Bacterial small subunit ribosomal RNA
Source: RNAcentral